RNAcentral lists this Y RNA (117 nucleotides) under Carlito syrichta (Philippine tarsier). RNAcentral describes it as "Y RNA (ENSTSYG00000033274.1)". It matches the Rfam family "Y RNA". From Rfam's summary of the family: Y RNAs are components of the Ro ribonucleoprotein particle (Ro RNP), in association with Ro60 and La proteins. The Y RNAs and Ro60 and La proteins are well conserved, but the function of the Ro RNP is not known. Lineage: Eukaryota; Metazoa; Chordata; Mammalia; Primates; Tarsiidae. The record is from Rfam by way of RNAcentral.
GUUUGGUCUGAAAGUAGUGAGUUAUCUCAGUUGACUGUUCACAGACAGUUACAGAUUGAGCUCCUUUUUCUGUUCACUCUUUUCCCCCUUCUCACUACUACACUUGACUAGUCUUAA